RNAcentral lists this transfer RNA (73 nucleotides) under Planctomycetota bacterium. Its description in RNAcentral is "Planctomycetes bacterium tRNA-Ala". It matches the Rfam family "tRNA". Rfam says of the family: Transfer RNA (tRNA) molecules are approximately 80 nucleotides in length. The record is from RNAcentral. Lineage: Bacteria; Pseudomonadati; Planctomycetota.
GGGGGAUUAGCUCAGCUGGGAGAGCGCUUGCAUGGCAUGCAAGAGGUCAUCGGUUCAAUCCCGUUAUCCUCCA